Oncorhynchus nerka (sockeye salmon) is the source of this 5219-nucleotide long non-coding RNA. RefSeq lists it as uncharacterized. The transcript has 2 exons. NCBI's taxonomy places the organism in Eukaryota, Metazoa, Chordata, Actinopteri, Salmoniformes, Salmonidae. The record is from RefSeq and is a predicted model, not a curated record.
GCUGUCCUAAAAGUCGCUGAAUGACAUCAUCGCCUAAUUUGCAUAAUUGGCCAUGUGAACGUAGUUGUGAUGGAUGCUGUAGAACAACGUCGUGGGAGAGACAAAAAGACCUGAGCCCUAGGACCAUGCCUCAGGACUACCUGGCAUGAUGACUCCUUGAUGUCCACCUGGCUGUGCUGCUGCUCCAGUUUGAACUGUUCUACCUGUGAUUAUUAGUUAUGAACAUUUGAACAUCUUGGCCAUGUUCUGUUAUAAUCUCCACCCGGCACAGCCAGAAGAGGACUGGCCACCCCACAUAGCCUGGUUCCUCUCUAGGUUUCUUCCUAGGUUUUGGCCUUUCUAUGGAGUUUUUCCUAGCCACCGUGCUUCUACACCUGCAUUGCUUGCUGUUUGGGGUUUUAGGCUGGGUUUCUGUACAGCACUUUGAGAUAGUGGGGCAAAAAAGUAUUUAGUCAGCCACCAAUUGUGCAAGUUCUCCCACUUAAAAAAGAUGAGAGGCCUGUAAUUUUCAUCAUAGGUACACUUCAACUAUGACAGACAAAAUUAUUUAUUUGCAAAUUAUGGUGGAAAAUAAGAAUUUGGUCACCUACAUAGUAUUUGGUCACCUAUAAGAUGUUUCUCCACAAGCCCUUUCCCAAAAGUGUGAGAGCAGAUCUUUAACCUCAAAUUUAACUAUAUCAUUAUUUAAUAAUGAGCUAUUUAGCUUCCAGUAGGAUGCUCUACCCAGGUUAGUAUCAGGGAUAAAUAUUUUGAUAUCAAUGUAAAUGGCCCUAUGGUCUGUGAGGGGAGUAGUACAAAUAUUUGUAGUAACACUAUCACUAUCAAUACAUUUGCAUAUAAGCCAAAAAUCUAUUCUGGAUUGUCUGGAACCUGUUUUGUUACUCCAAGUUAAUGAUCUGUCGGCCGGAAGCCUCUCUCCAUAUAUCAGUAAGAUCAAACUUUUCCAUAAAAAGUAUUAAACCCAAAUUCUGAUUGGUUGGCCUACCUGGGGGGCCAUCUAUCAGUUGAAUUAUCUAUAGUAAUGUUAAUGUCCCCUCCUUUCAAUAAUAACGAAUUGGGAAAUUUAGAUAACCAAUGAAGUAUGUUUCUCUAUAGAUUCAAGCAACUCAUCAUGUACAGCACUUUGAGGUAUCAGCUGAUUUACAAAGGGCCAUAUAAAUACAUUUGAUUUGAUUUGACUGCCGUGCCACCAUGCUGUUCAAGUGAGCACAGCACAACAAGGCAAGUCCAAAAAUGUAUUGUAUGCUGCUGCAUAAAUUAUGUAUAUACUAGGGAGAUGUGUAUUCUUGUCACGACUUUCGCCGAAGUUGGUGCCUCUACUUGUUCGAUCGCCGGUCGACGUCACCGGCUUUCUAGCCUCCACCGAUCUAAAUUUAUUUUUCCAUUUGUUUUGUCUUGAUUGUACACACCUGGUUCCCAUUACGUUUGAAUUAUUUCCCUAUUUAACCCUCUGGAGCAUCAUGGUUUUGUUGUCCUGUUUAUGUGAUUCUGGAUUUUCCUUCUCCUUGUUGGAAGAUUAUUCUUGAGUAAAGUUACUAUUACUCAUCUGUGUCCUGUACCUGACUCCACCUUACCCACAUCAGACUCUGACAGAAACACGCACCUUUCAAAUGGAGUCAGCAGGUGCACACAGCCCUCCUUUACCUAUGGAGGACCGCGUCCUGCAUCUGCAAACCGUGGAGCAAUGGGAGAGACAGGGUUUUCCAGCAACCCCAUCAUCACCCCAGCUCCGACUCCAACCAUGGUAAAGGAGGUGCAGCGGUUCUUAGGGUUUGCCAACUACUACCGGAGGUUUAUCCGGGGCUUUGGUCAGGUGGCGGCUCCCAUUACCUCUUUGCUAAACGGGGGACCGGUGCGACUGCAGUGGUCAGCUGGGGCGGACAGGGCUUCUGGUCACCUGAAGGCUCUGUUUACCUCAGUUCCCGUGCUGGCUCAUCCUGAUCCCUCUAUGGCAUUUAUAGUAGAGUUGGACUCGUCCAAGGCUGGGAUAGGAGCUGUGCUGUCUCAGCGCUUGGGUACGCCACCAAAGCUCCGCCCUUGUGCUUUUUUCCCCGAAGAAGCUCAGCCCGGCAGAGCGAAACUAUGAUGUGGGUGAUCGGGAGCUGUUGGCUGUUGUCAAGGCUCUGAAGUCGUGGAGGCAUUGGCUUGAGGGGCCUAAACACCCUUUCCUCAUUUGGACUGACCACCGCAAUCUGGAGUACAUCCGGGCGGCGAGGAGACUGAACCCUCGUCAGGCAAGGUGGGCCAUGUUUUUCACCCGUUUUGUUUUCACCCUUUCCUACAGAACAUGUUCCCAGAACGCUAAGGCAGACUCAUUGUCCCGGCUGUAUGACAGAGGAGCGGUCCACGGAUCCCACUCCCAUACUUCCGGCUUCUUGCCUGGUGGCACCAUUGGUAUGGGAGGUGGACGCGGACAUCGAGCGGGCAUUACGUACAGAGCCCACUCCCAACCAGUGUCCAGUUGGGUGUCUGUACGUUCCGUCUGAUGUCCGCAAUCGUUUGAUCUGUUGGGCUCACACGUCACCCUCCUCUUGUCAUCCUGGCAUCGGUCGGACAGUGUGCUGUCUUAGUAGGAAGUAUUAAGUUGCUAUUAUUACUCAUCUGUGUCCUGCACCUGACUCUGCCUUACCCACAUCACCGAGAGUCUGACAAUACUGUAACUAAGAAAGUAAUACUAGUUGUGUAGUAAGAUGUCAGUAGCCCAUGUUCCUCACCCUAAAAAUGUGGUAUAUUUACCCCUCUUAAUUUCACCUAGUGUUCUGACUCGACAGUGCUUAUGUAGCCUACAGUAUAACCUGUUUUAGAGAAAUAUAAUUAUUGAAUUUUGCAAGAGAUUUCAUUGACUGCUUAUAUGCCCCCUUUAUUUAAUCAGGUAGGCUAGUUGAGAACAAGUUCUCAUUUACAAUUGUGACCUUGCCAAGAUAAAGCAAAGCAGAGCGACACAAACACAGAGUUACAAAUGGAAUUGACAAACAUGCAGUCCAUAAUACAAUAGAAAAAGUAUUUAUACAGUGUGUGCAAAUGAGGUAGGAUAAGGGAGGUAAGGCAAUAAAUAGGCCAGAGUGGCAAAAUAAUUACAAUACAGCAAUUAAACACUGGAGUGAUAGAUGUGCAGAAGAUGAGAGUGCAAAUAUAGGGCUACUGGGGUGCAAAGGAGCAAAAUAAAUCAAAUAACAGUUUGGGGGAUGAGGUAGUUGGAUGGGCUAUUUACAGAUGGGCUAUGUGCAGUGAUCUGUGAGCUGCUCUGUGAUAGACUGCAUCCAAUUUGCUGAGUAGAGUCAAGGAUUGGUAGAUAGCCUCGUAAAAUUGACUAUGUUUGGCAGCAUGAGUGAAGGAUGCUUUGUUUGUGAAAUAGGAAGCCUAUUCUAGAUUUAAUUUUGGAUUGGAAAUGCUUAAUGUGAGUCUGGAAGGAGAGUUUACAGUCUAACCAGACACCUAGAAUAUGUGGACAACUACAAAUACCCAAGUCAGAACCGUCCAGAGUAGUGAUGCUAGUCGGGCGGGCAGGUGUGGGCAGCGAUCGGUUGAAGAGCAUGCAUUUAGUUUUACUUGCAUGUAAGGGCAGUUGGAGGCCACAGAAGCAGAGUUGUAUGGCAUUUAAGCUCAUCUGGAGGUUAGUUAAAACAGUGUCCAAAGAAGGGCCAGAAGUAUACAGAAUGGUGUCAUCUGCGUAGAGGUGGAUCAGAGAAUCACCAGCAGCAAGGGCGACAUCAUUGAUGUAUACAUAGAAAAGAGUCGGCCUGAGAAUUGAACCCUGUGGCACCCCUAUAGAGACUGCCAGAGGUCUGGACAACAGGCCCUCCGAUUUGACACACUGAACUCUGAGAAGUAGUUGGUGAACCAGGCGAGGCAAUCAUUUGAGAAACCUAGGCUGUUGAGUCUGCCGAUGAGGAUGUGGUGAUUGACAGAGUCGGAAGUCUUGGCCAGGUCGAUGAAUACAGCAACACAGUAUUGUCUCUUAUCGAUGGCGGUUAUGAUAUAGUUUAGGACCUUGCGCGUGGCUGAGGUGCACCCAUGACCAGCUCGGAAACCAGAUUGCCUAGUGGAGAAGGUACGGUGGGAUUCAAAGUUGUCGGUGAUCUGUUUGUUAACUUGGCUUUCGAAGACCUUAGAAAGGCAGGGUAGGAUAGAUAUAGGUCUGUAGUAGUUUGGAUCUAGAGUGUCUCCCCCUUUGAAGAGGGCAACAAAAAUCAUAACAGCAAGGCCAACUGAAUAUGUUUGAGUGCAUGUAUGUGUGACAGUAUUGCUUCCGUCCCUCUCCUCUCCCCUACCUGGGCUUGAACCAGAGACCUUCUGCACACAUCGACAACAGCCACCCUCGAAGCAUCGUUACCCAUCGCUCCACAAAAGCCGAGCAAGGGGAACAAGUACUUUAAGGUCUCAGAGCGAGUGACAUCACCGAUUGAAACACUGUUAGUGCGCACCACUGCUAACUAGCGAGCUAUUUCACAUCGGUUACAUGGCACUAUUUAAGUGUGUGUCCGUGUAUGUGUGCAUUUGAAUGAGUGUGUGUAUAUGCAUGUGUACAAACACCUGCACAGCAUCAGCCUCAGGCAAACUGGCAUUAGCUGUAACAACGCUACCCCUCAGUGUCAUUCAAACAUACUUUUUGUCAUGAUUUUUAUUUUCUUUUUUAAAAACUUUUCUUUGACCGCCAUUCUCCGGCUGAUUCUCCGGUUGUUCAUUCAUAGCUCUUCCCCCUCAUUUUCAUUAAAAAAAAACUUUUUCUCCCAAAUUUCGUGGUAUGCAAUUGGUAGUUAGUCUUGUCUCUUCGUUGCAAUUCCCAUACGAACUCGGAAGAGGCAACGUUCGAGAGCCGUGCGUCCUCCGAAACACAACACAAUCAAGCCACACUGCUUCUUGACACAAUGCCCACUUAACCCGGAAGCCAGCCGUACCAAUGUGUCAGAGGACACCAUACACCUGGCGACUGUGUCAGCGUCCACUGCACCCGGCCCGCCACAGGAGUCGCUAGUGCACGAUGGGACAAGGACAUCCCUGCCAGCCAAACCCUCCCCUAACGAUGCCGGGACAAUUGUGCUCCGCACCAUGAGUCUCCCGGUCGUGGCCGGCUGCGACAGAGCCUGGACUCAGAAUCUCUAGUUGCACUGCGAUUCAGUGCCUUAGACCACUCGGGACGCCCUAUACUGCCGUCCAGGGAACAGUAGAUAUAUUCAAUGAAGUGAUUCAGGCCUGCAUUAAACACAUUGAAUUUAAAA